UAUAUUAUUUUCUCUAGGCUUCAACGUAUUCAAAAAGAGUUGUAAUUUGUUCAUCAAUAGUUUUUUAACUGUCAUCUAUUGUAUUAGGUCGUAGAGUUUUAAGAGUUAGAUUAGUUUUAUAUUUACGAAACAAACUUAGAAUACUUUUGAAAGUAUUCGGUUAUUGUACCUCUAUUGUGAGAUUGGGAUUUGUCUUUUGUUAAAGGGAUUUGUAGACCGUUCUUCAAGGGAAAGAAUGUGGUGAGAGAAGAUAGAGAUCUUCUUGGUAAUCUAGGUUCCAUUAAUAAAAGAGGUUUGAAUCUUAAGGCCGUUGAUAAGGAACCCCAUAGGCGGGGAGUACGCUAUUGAUAAAUGAUAGCUGAAUUUCGAUAACAAAUCACUUGUUUUGUAUAUCUUUAAUUUACUCAUCUUAGUCUUAAUUUUCAUAGUCGGCCUAAGAACAGUUUACAGAAUACUGUUUUAAGUGCCUCACAAGUUCUUGAGCUAACAGUCAAUGCAAAAAUUUUAAUCUGUCAAACUCGCUAUUCACCCCCCUAGAGAGUUAUUGACCUUCCAUCAACCUUUAAUUGGUAUCAUAGCUGAGUUUCAUAUGUGAAGAUUAAUUAUCUCGUGAUGGACCCGACGGGAAAAGAACCAAAGGAUGUCAAACAAGCUAUAAAGGAACCGCAGUGGAUCAUUGCAAUGCAAAGUGAAUUAUACGUGUUUGAAAGAAAUAAAGUAUGGGAUCUAGUUGAAAGACCAAAGGAUCGCACUAUCAUUGGAACUAGAUGGGUCUUUCGAAAAGAUCAUAAAGAACAAAGAAAGGGAUAAAAAAGGGAGGAAAAGAAAGGAAUUACACCCAUAGAGAAAGAGAUUUAGACAAAAAGACCUGUAUGUAAACGGUCUCUUUAGCGCGCUCUUCUUCGCUGAGAACACGGCCUCCUCUUCCAUCAGAUGAAUAGCAAGC
Amaranthus tricolor (Joseph's coat) is the source of this 946-nucleotide long non-coding RNA. RefSeq lists it as uncharacterized. The transcript has 3 exons. Lineage: Eukaryota; Viridiplantae; Streptophyta; Magnoliopsida; Caryophyllales; Amaranthaceae. The record is from RefSeq and is a predicted model, not a curated record.